This 253-nucleotide ribosomal RNA is filed under the name uncultured bacterium. Its description in RNAcentral is "partial 16S ribosomal RNA". It matches the Rfam family "Bacterial small subunit ribosomal RNA", at positions 524 to 776 of the family's 1533-position model. The record is from RNAcentral.
UACGUAGGGGGCAAGCGUUGUCCGGAUUUAUUGGGCGUAAAGAGCGUGUAGGCGGUUAUACAGGUCCGCUGUGAAAACUGGAGGCUUAACCUCCAGACGUCGGUGGAAACCGUAUAACUAGAGUCCGGAAGAGGAGAGUGGAAUUCCUGGUGUAGCGGUGAAAUGCGCAGAUAUCAGGAAGAACACCCGUGGCGAAGGCGGCUCUCUGGGACGGUACUGACGCUGAGACGCAAAAGCGUGGGGAGCGAACAGG